Molecule: ribosomal RNA, 511 nt
Filed under: uncultured bacterium
Lineage: Bacteria
Description: partial 16S ribosomal RNA
Rfam family: Bacterial small subunit ribosomal RNA
Source: RNAcentral
GACGAACGCUGGCGGCGUGCCUAAUACAUGCAAGUCGAGCGAAUGGAUGGGAGCUUGCUCCCUGACAUUAGCGGCGGACGGGUGAGUAACGCGUGGGCAACCUGCCCUGCAGAUGGGGAUAACUCCGGGAAACCGGGGCUAAUACCGAAUAAUCAGUUCCUCCGCAUGGAGGAACUCUGAAAGACGGCUCUGCUGUCACUUAUAGAUGACCUUGCGGUGCAUUAGUUAGUUGGUGGGGUAACGGCCUACCAAGACGAUGAUGCAUAGCCGACCUGAGAGGGUGAUCGGCCACAUUGGGACUGAGACACGGCCCAAACUCCUACGGGAGGCAGCAGUAGGGAAUCUUCCGCAAUGGGCGAAAGCCUGACGGAGCAAUGCCGCGUGAGUGAAGAAGGCCUUCGGGUCGUAAAACUCUGUUAUAAGAGAAGAACAGAUUGUAGAGUAACUGCUACAGUCUUGACGGUAUCUUAUCAGAAAGCCACGGCUAACUACGUGCCAGCAGCCGCAGUAA